CUCAGGACGAACGCUGGCGGCGUGCUUAACACAUGCAAGUCGAACGGAAAGGCCCUGCUUUUGUGGGGUGCUCGAGUGGCGAACGGGUGAGUAACACGUGAGUAACCUGCCCUUGACUUUGGGAUAACUUCAGGAAACUGGGGCUAAUACCGGAUAGGAGCUCCUGCUGCAUGGUGGGGGUUGGAAAGUUUCGGCGGUUGGGGAUGGACUCGCGGCUUAUCAGCUUGUUGGUGGGGUAGUGGCUUACCAAGGCUUUGACGGGUAGCCGGCCUGAGAGGGUGACCGGCCACAUUGGGACUGAGAUACGGCCCAGACUCCUACGGGAGGCAGCAGUGGGGAAUAUUGCACAAUGGGCGGAAGCCUGAUGCAGCAACGCCGCGUGCGGGAUAACGGCCUUCGGGUUGUAAACCGCUUUCGCCUGUGACGAAGCGUGAGUGACGGUAAUGGGUAAAGAAGCACCGGCUAACUACGUGCCAGCAGCCGCGGUGAUACGUAGGGUGCGAGCGUUGUCCGGAUUUAUUGGGCGUAAAGGGCUCGUAGGUGGUUGAUCGCGUCGGAAGUGUAAUCUUGGGGCUUAACCCUGAGCGUGCUUUCGAUACGGGUUGACUUGAGGAAGGUAGGGGAGAAUGGAAUUCCUGGUGGAGCGGUGGAAUGCGCAGAUAUCAGGAGGAACACCAGUGGCGAAGGCGGUUCUCUGGGCCUUUCCUGACGCUGAGGAGCGAAAGCGUGGGGAGCGAACAGGCUUAGAUACCCUGGUAGUCCACGCUGUAAACGGUGGGUACUAGGUGUGGGGUCCAUUCCACGGGUUCCGUGCCGUAGCUAACGCUUUAAGUACCCCGCCUGGGGAGUACGGCCGCAAGGCUAAAACUCAAAGGAAUUGACGGGGCCCCGCACAAGCGGCGGAGCAUGCGGAUUAAUUCGAUGCAACGCGUAGAACCUUACCUGGGUUUGACAUGGAUCGGGAGUGCUCAGAGAUGGGUGUGCCUCUUUUGGGGUCGGUUCACAGGUGGUGCAUGGCUGUCGUCAGCUCGUGUCGUGAGAUGUUGGGUUAAGUCCCGCAACGAGCGCAACCCUUGUUCACUGUUGCCAGCACGUUAUGGUGGGGACUCAGUGGAGACCGCCGGGGUCAACUCGGAGGAAGGUGGGGAUGACGUCAAGUCAUCAUGCCCCUUAUGUCCAGGGCUUCACGCAUGCUACAAUGGCUGGUACAGAGAGUGGCGAGCCUGUGAGGGUGAGCGAAUCUCGGAAAGCCGGUCUCAGUUCGGAUUGGGGUCUGCAACUCGACCUCAUGAAGUCGGAGUCGCUAGUAAUCGCAGAUCAGCAACGCUGCGGUGAAUACGUUCCCGGGGCUUGUACACACCGCCCGUCAAGUCAUGAAAGUUGGUAACACCCGAAGCCGGUGGCCUAACCGUUGUGGGGGAGCCGUCGAAGGUGGGACUGGUGAU
This 1445-nucleotide ribosomal RNA is filed under the name uncultured organism. RNAcentral's name for it is "SSU rRNA". It matches the Rfam family "Bacterial small subunit ribosomal RNA". The record is from RNAcentral.